UUGACGCAAAAAGCGUCGGAAUCGUCUUUCGGAGCACCAGUCUCUCUGCUCUUGAUUCUUAUCUCCGUUCUCUGGCGAUGAAGCUGGCUUUCGUUUGUUCCCCUCGAUUUCUUUGCAGCUGCAAAUGACUGAUGUCAUAAAGGACGUAAUGGACUUAGUCUUACCUAUUCUGAUAAUGCAACGGUAUGCAAUCUAGAGAAGAAGCGGCUGUUCGAAAAGCUUCUCUUCAUCAUUGUCAGGCAAACCGUCCAAAUAUGAAAUUCCCACAAUGAAUGGCAGACAACACAAACUUACUCCUAAUUACGCUUUGUGUGUAUGAACUAUCGAUCCAAAAAAUCAUGUCAUCUUCCAGAUUUUAUGCGUUUGGUCUCGCAGCUUCCUGCGAAUCUUAUUUCAAAAUGAUAUUAAUAACGUUUUUUUCUAUUUUCGGACGCAUACGUAUGUAGUUUGCUUGAGCAUUUCUGUCAGCCGGUUAUGCUAUGCACAUGGUUUAUUAUUAGAGACUGGAGAUGUGCUUGGAAAGGCGAAGAUAAGAGGCAAAGCUUCUGAUACAGAAGGGGAAAAAGCAAGUUGGUAUGUUCAAGGAAGGUCGUCAAGCUAUGCGGGUUUCUUCUCAGGUGAGAACCGAUCAUGCAUGUGUUGACAGAAGAUGGUGGCAGGUGGGUCAUUUGGUGGCAUGGCUCUGCUGAGUGCUGAUGGCCCUUUUCAGGGAUGACGUUGAGAGAUGCCAGCAGAAGAAAAGAAAGAAAACAAAAAAAGGAGGACAUGGCAAAGCGGUCCGCUGCAUCGAAGGCAAGCAUGCAUGUCAGAGAGAAGAUGGGCAUGUGGAUUGUUGGGGGAUGUCGUCUACACUGCAGGCCAAAUCUACGAAGCAGGGGCACUGUGGCAUCAAGAAGAAGCGGGACCACUUUGAAAAGUGCUUUGGGCUUCCGCUUGUCGCAACUAACCAUCGAUCGCUUCCCCAGACAUAUGAUUGUUAUCACCAUUAAUACUGCCCAAAAGACCGACUUGAGACUCUCUCUCUCUCUCUCUCACCACAGAAUUCAAAAGAUAAGUGGGAGGCAGGGGAAUUGCUGCUGCUGAUUAGAUGACCGAUGUGGGUUGCUACUAGGUCUGAGUAUGUGAAAUUCGACAUAUUCUUUUUCUUGAAAAUUGGCCUUUUGUUGUUGCUGGCAAUCUUUUAAGAGUUUUUAUUACUCUUUCGGAUACUCCUAGCAACUGCUGGUUGAUGCAAAUAUAGUAACUGUUGUCCUUAUUAGAUUACAGGCUUCAGUCCUUUCCUGUAAACGACACAUUUGUUUGUGAGUCCCCGGAGAUUGGCCUUGUCAAAUUGAUUCCUCCGAUGAAUAAUUGUUUUGGUGCCUUCUUUUAUGUUUUCGUUGUUUAUCUUCUGAGGUUCCAGUUGUCAUUCUUGGCUCUAUCUAUUGGGUUCGCAUGAGUUGAAGUUAUUGUAGUGCAGUGAGAUCUCCUGUGUGGUUUGAUGGAGAGGCAGUCAUAGUUCAGUUUGUACAUUUAGUAUUGUUUCAUCUGUUUAGACCGUGCUGGACUCCUAAUUCUUGUUUUUUUUUAUGCAUGUAUCGUGUCUUGCAUGUGAUUUAGCAUUUAUUCCUAGGCCCUGCAAAGUUUCUCCUGAGCUAAGGUCACACGUUGAAAUUCAAUUGUUUGGGUAGCUAUUGACUUACUCUGUUGCAUGCCAUGAGAUGACUGGGUUAUUCAUAUUACGUUCUAAGAUUUUGUCUUCCGCAAGCAAGUCCUUUUUGGUGGUUGUGUUUUCCAUCCAUUGAAGAAUUAGUGAGACAUAUGCUUUUAAACAAAAUGGUUGUGAACUAUUUUGUGGUGGGUAAGAAGCAGGUACCUUUAAGGUGAUCCUUUGGUGAUCAAGUUCUUGUUUUGUCUAAUCACAAACCUUACCAUAUUACCAUGACUUCUCAAGGAACUUCAGUUGAUAUUCUAUUAUUUUUUAAUUGUCAUAGCAUUUGAUAAUAGUGUAUUGCUUCCAGAUGAAUGCGUUAAUUAAUUGAUUGUUUUUGUACUAAUGCAACUGUGCUAAACUAAGAGAAGCCGUUGAUAAUUGAUAUGAUUCUUCAUGGUGUUUAUUCAGCAGGAUCUUUGGUUGUACAUAGUUUUGUCACUAGAAAACCACCUAGGAGCAUGUCCUCUUCUUCUUGCAGAUUGCUUUGAUUUCAAAGUUAUCACCUUCAUUUGAACUUUUUGUUUGCUUUAGUUGUGCUGUGGUAUUCAAAAGUGAUCACACACGCUUGAGAUGAUUCUGUAGUCAGGCCAUGAUUGAUGUUCUCUAGAAUGCCAUUCUGACAGUUCUGACAGUUUUAUUCUUCAGGUUCAGUUGUGAUGCUUUUGCCCCUCUCUCUAGGAGUGGCUUUUAACAAGCAUUCUUUUGUAGUUGAAAAAACUAAUAAUCUUAUCAAAAUGGAAGCUGUCCCUCACCUGUGCCUUCAGAAGAUACAUCCUCCUGAGUUGUCGAAACCCUGUGAAUCAUAUUCUAAUACUUUUUUCCAUCAAUCAUAUUGGUUUCUGAUACUGAAUGGUAUGUAGCCACAAAUGGCAUAUGUGAGGUACAAUCUACAAACAAAACCUUUGGAUGGAAUAUAUAAUGGCACACAUCCUUGAUCCAGAUUUGCUUCUCUCAAAUGCUUAAGCACAUUUUGUUUGACCUUAGAGGAUGUUGAGAGGCAUGCUAGACAGUCCCAUGGCAUUCAUUUUACUUGUUCGCACUAGACAGUCUCAUGGCAUGCUUGUUUCUGUUGUUCAUUUCACAUAGCAGCCUCACAAUGAGACCUUUUUUCUUGCAUUUUUUUAAUUCCUUGUUUCUUGAAUCAUGAGGUUGCUAGAAGAAAGUAACAUGGAUAUUCUUAGAAGCUGAUUUGAGGUAAAAUGUCACAAUGUUCAGUGACUUAAUGUGAACUGGUGAACAGAAAGUUCCUGAAAUAGCAGAUGAAGCCCAUGAGAGUGAAAAGAUGCAGAAGGUCUGUCAGUUUCUCAUUCAACUUGGCUGAGACUAAGUCCAGAUCAAAGUUCUCACAAAGUAGUGAGUCUGCAGCAAACAUUAUGUCUAUUCAAGAGCUUAUAGUUUGAUUUUCCGACUUAGAGAAAAUAGGCAACAUUUUAGUUACCUUCCCAGUUACUUUUUCCAUGAUUUAUCAAUUUAUAUGACAAAUUUGUCAUUCAAAGUUGGCGAAAGCAUUAGUAGAAGCUUUCCGCAAUUAUUAGUGCUUAGACAAGUGUGAAGUGUUCUUGCUCUUCAGUGAAGUGAGGAAAGUUGAAGCCUCCGCAUGAUGGUUUUGGCCAUCCCCGUUCAAAUUUUCACUUGGGACACGACCUCCCUAUGAAGGUUGUUUUUGUAUAGAUGAAUCAUGGAAGUGAAGAACUACAGGGCAUUAACCAAUGAAAAUUCACCUUCAUAAAGAGAUUCACAAAGCAUUCCUUCCUUACUAUUCUGACUUCAGUAUUCUAGGUGCUUCUUUUUGUGAGGGAUAUGGCUACUACAUUGGUUCUUGUCCAUCUGGACUUGCAAGCUAGAACCCAGCUAGCCAGAUUAUCUUUAUACAUCACAUCAUUAUGAUAGGUGUGUUCAUAUGUCAGGCAACCUUGCGCUCAAAACACUUAUUGGUGUGCUAACAUUUCACAUGCAUCAGCAGAAGUAAAAAAAAAUUGUUGGUUGUAAAAUUUACAUGCAUGGAUGAAACUCUUAACUGGUAUAAUUUUGUAAAUUUACAAAUUACAUCCUUAUAAAUCUGGUCACAAGAAUGGAUGUAACAUGCAUGGGUAUAUGAGCAAUAUGAUUGUUUCAGUUGCAGUAUCAAUGUAUGACAAUUUCCUGAAUGGAUGAAGAAAGACAUCACUCAUAUGGAGCAUGAUAGUGGAGGUAGAAUAGUGUGAAGAUGGUUGAUAAGUGUCAACACCAAUUGCGUGAAGUUGAGCCUUAGAUGUGCUUAUGAUAAAUGAUAAUGGAGUGGACCGCAUUGCUUGAUUAGUCAUUACGUGAUACAGAAAGGUCUUAUAGGUUUCUAACCGAGUAAACAUCGUGUAGUUUGAGCAAGCAAUCAUCACGUUGUUUUAGCGUACAUGCUACCAUAAGCAGUUUUUGUCACGUUGGUAAUGCAUGGUUGUCUUUUAGGUCCUCCAUGUCAGGCCAUAUAAAAGGUCUGUCUGCACAAGGUGCAUGAGUAUUUAGGUACUGGUGCUACAGAAGGAAUCAUAAGCACCGUUUGUCAGCACCUGUUUUUAGGUGAAAUUUUGACUUUCUGCCUGCAAGUUUUGAUUGACUAGACGCAGCAUUGUUUUUGUGAAACUUAGACUCUCCUGACGUGAGUUGUAUGCUUGCCACAAGGCAAGUGCACCAAGAGGUUCUUUUCUUCUGCUUUCACAAAACAUGGAGAUGCAAACACAGUAUUUGGGAGCAAGUGCACAACCACGUGCAUGCAUGAGAGAGUGAGAGAGUAUGUUUGUGGUUCUUUUUUCUUAUUGGCUGAAAGGCAUAGGGAAGAAUGAAUAUAUUAACUUCCAUGCAUGCUUCAUAUACUAAUUGUGCUGUUUUUGAGUGCUGCAAGUACAUUUCCUAUCAAGUGACAAACCUGUUUCUCAUCACAUGUGACUAAAGAAGGUACUUACCUUACAACGGAAAUGUGUUCCUAUGUGUAUUUCAUUAUGUGUGGGUGCGAGUGUGCAUAGUAUCCUAGGCUAUGAGGCUAUUUCCUCGUUAGCCUUGGUGCAAAUAACCAUAAGUUGAUGCUGAAAAAUAUUUAAAUAUAGCUUUUUCUAAAUAUGUAGCAUACCAUGUGACAGAAUCGGGACAUCCAUAAUCAUGCCAAGAUCCAUGACCUUAAUGGAGGAGUUGCCAGGUCUCUUGAAGGAUUAACCUUAUUGUCUUGACCGUUGCAGAAGAUUAUCUCUUCAUAAGUGCAAGCCUUAAUUUGCUUACUCCCACCACACAUGCAAUUGUCAUGUCAGCUAAUUUCAAUCAAGGCUUCGUGACUUUUUUUAAGGUCUUGAAAAUGCUGUUUAAGUGUUUAUGCAUCAGAAGUGAAUGAUUGAACGCAUGUUUCUUAGAAAAACAUGAACGUGUGCACAAAAAAUAUUAGUCCAGGUACAUCUAGAAUGGCAAAUGCUUGUUUACGUGUUUAUGCAUUUUCAUGAAAUUCCCUCGUUCUUUUAUGCGAGCAAAUAUGGUAAUUUAUCAUUUUAUACUGCUGUCUGCCUUAUUUGUAGAUAAUGCUGUGCCAAAUAGCGCUGUGGUCUUAUUAUUGGUACUUUUGGCUGUUAAUUUUAUUUCAAUAUCGAUCCUGAACGUUCAUCUUCUGCUAAAUUCCUAGUUGUGUUAGACUAGUUGUGUUGGGAGCAAAGUGGAAUGUGAAGGACAGAGGUAACACUAUUCUUCUGUAUGUGUGAAAUAAAAUUGUAAUAUCAUGAAGAUAAAAGUUUAAGCUUUCUUAUUGGUUUUGUUGAUAUUAUGGUUAGGACAUGAGGUAAAAGGUGGCUUCAAUUCUUUUUAGAAGUAUUUUGAUUGUGAAAAAUAAUAAGCAUGAAGCCCAUGCAUUUCGCAGACCGACAAGGACAGGAAUAUGCUCUGUAAAAGUUAUCUCCUGUAUAUUUCUCAGCAACCGUGAAGUUUCUCUUCGUUGCGUCAAAAACGAAAAAUGUGACGGCUCAGUCUAUAAUUGAUCUGAGUGCCUAGUGUGGCGCAUCCAGAUUCACCUCGUAGCCACUUUUAUUGAUCAUUUUAAAAGGCUAAAAAAAAACAGGGUGCUUAGUAGUAUGAAGCACGAGUAUUAAAAAAUGCUCAAGAUUUUCAAAAUUUUCAGCAUAUUUUUUAGUCCGAAUAUGUGAUUUCGUAAUGAAAAUUUUAGUUUGGCAUAUAUGUACCAAAAACUUCUCUUACCAAGACUUUCAUUAUUUGCAAUCAAAUUCACUUAUCACACUAAGCAAAAUGUCUGCAGCUUUCUUUUGGAGGGGACUAGUUUGCAUGUGCUGCAUCUUUACGUCCAUCCUGCGGGAAUCAAGCUGUAGUUCAUUUGUCCAUAUAGGUUUCACUGACAACUGCAAAUAUCUCAUGGAGAUAGAAUUGUCUUUAUAAAACAGCUUAAAAUGGUCUGCGGGUUAUGCUUGCUAGAUGAAAUCGUUGGUACAAAAAUCGUGUCUUAGUUCCAGAUUUAGUAAGUUAUGCCGUUUUGUUUCGUGAACAUUGUCACAUAUAUCAUGUACGGGUAUUAUAGAUUGAAAAAUUUUUUAGGUAUAAUACGACAAAGUUUUAUAUUUUGAUAAUAUUUCGAGAAAAUAUCGGCAAAGUUUUAAAAAAAAUAAAACAUUUAAUAGAUCUUAAAAAUUAUAAAAAAAUAAAAAGAUAUUAAAAAAUUUUAAAAACAUGAAAGAACACGCAUAAUAUGCAUUUUUUUCAUGUAAAAAAAAACUUGUUUUUUUCACGUUUUAUAUGUAUGACUUAUUUUUUGUGUAUUAUACACAUUGUUUUCAAAUAAGACUCGUUUUGUGUGACAUGCUGUGGUAGCUCUGGAUUUUUUUUUUCUCAGGUUUCCCUUUGCAAUUCAUGUUAAAGCAAGAAAACAUCCGACUGUUCAGAAAUAACACCAUGUGUCACGCACAUUCAUGUGGACAGGAGAAACCUAUUAUGUAAGGACAAACUAUGAGACACGCGGUAGACAUCAGAGUAUGAAUGAGAAAGAAAAUGAUGUUAUAGAUGCAAUGACUACGUGCCUCUUCAACAUUUAUUUUCUCAAGAAAUCAAGCGCAGACAUUUUCCCGAAACUAGACACUCUAUUCAGAAGCUCCACAAGAUUGUGUUAACAAACAGUAAAUAGUAAAACCCGACCCCGAAGAAAAAAAAACAUAGUUAGCCAGUUAGGGGAAUUUCUAGGUAUUGAAACUUGAAUAUUUACUAAGAAUAAUAAGAUAAUUACCAAAAAACUUAAUGUACAUGGUCUUCUUUUUAUUAAGUACAUAUGCUUGCUUUGAAAAGGAAUCUCUGAAACACAUGUUGCAGAGUAUCAGUUAUUGCAUCCGAUGCGGGUAUUCUGAAGGUUUGAACGAGCAAGUAGUCAAAACCAGUCUGUGCAUAUCAGAAAGAUACUGUAGUUUCGUCAUUAUUGGACAAGCAUCAUACAGUGCAGUGGAUGUGGCUUGCAAGUUGCAAAGACCAAAGCCAUGUACUAGGUACUGAAUGAGAAAGAGAACACGCGGCUUUCCUUUCCUCUGCUAGCUAUGUACUGAAAUCAGAAGUACUUAGUAUUCGUCUUUGAAUGGUUUCUGCACUGCAAAUAUGAAUGGUUGUUGUCUCCACUCGAAACGCAGAGAAGCACCGUGAAAUAAAGGCACUCUGAUUCCUUUUGGCUCAUAAGAGAAGAUGAU
Molecule: RNA transcript, 7377 nt
Organism: Nymphaea colorata (pocket water lily)
Lineage: Eukaryota; Viridiplantae; Streptophyta; Magnoliopsida; Nymphaeales; Nymphaeaceae
Gene name: zinc finger protein 7-like
Exons: 2
Source: RefSeq, a predicted model, not a curated record